GUGACAAACUAGCCAACUUAGAGUCACUCUUACCUCACCCCCCUACCACCUCCCAUCACUCCAGCUCCCCACCGCAGAUAGCGAUACAGGCCUCUUCGGCCUGUAUCGCUAUCUGCGGUGGGGAGCUGGAGUGAUGGGAGGUGGUAGGGGGGUGAGGUAAGAGUGACUCUAAGUUGGCUAG
Molecule: small nucleolar RNA, 181 nt
Organism: Schistocerca nitens (vagrant locust)
Lineage: Eukaryota; Metazoa; Arthropoda; Insecta; Orthoptera; Acrididae
Product: small nucleolar RNA SNORD17
Exons: 1
Source: RefSeq, a predicted model, not a curated record